CCCUUAGAUGUUCUGGGCGGCCCGCGCACUACAAUGGCGUGUGCAGCGAGUGCCGAAGUUGAGUUUUCCGAGGUAUUCUUGCAAUGCCCGUUUUGAUGGGGAUAGACCCUUGCAACUGUUGGUUUUGAACGAGGAAUUCCUUGUAAGCAUGGUUUAUCAUCCGACGCUGAAUGCGUCCCUGCCCUUUGUACACACCGCCCGUCGCUCCUACCGAUGAGUCGUCCGGUGAAGUUCGUAGACCUCGUGAUCGCGGAUCACUGGGGGAAGCAAAAUGAACCUCGCGGUUUAGAGGAAGGAGAAGUCGUAACA
RNAcentral lists this ribosomal RNA (309 nucleotides) under uncultured eukaryote. Its description in RNAcentral is "partial 18S ribosomal RNA". It matches the Rfam family "Eukaryotic small subunit ribosomal RNA", at positions 1470 to 1796 of the family's 1831-position model. The record is from RNAcentral.